UACAGAGGGGGCAAGCGUUGUUCGGAAUUACUGGGCGUAAAGCGUGCGCAGGCGGCUUUGCAAGACAGAUGUGAAAUCCCCGGGCUCAACCUGGGAACUGCAUUUGUGACUGCAUGGCUGGAGUGCGGCAGAGGGGGAUGGAAUUCCGCGUGUAGCAGUGAAAUGCGUAGAUAUGCGGAGGAACACCGAUGGCGAAGGCAAUCCCCUGGGCCUGCACUGACGCUCAUGCACGAAAGCGUGGGGAGCAAACAGG
This 253-nucleotide ribosomal RNA is filed under the name uncultured bacterium. RNAcentral's name for it is "partial 16S ribosomal RNA". It matches the Rfam family "Bacterial small subunit ribosomal RNA", at positions 524 to 776 of the family's 1533-position model. The record is from RNAcentral.